This 190-nucleotide ribosomal RNA is filed under the name Chaetoceros neogracilis. RNAcentral's name for it is "partial Eukaryotic small subunit ribosomal RNA". The record is from RNAcentral. Lineage: Eukaryota; Bacillariophyta; Thalassiosirophyceae; Chaetocerotales; Chaetocerotaceae.
CUGUUGAUGUGGAUAAAUGAUCGUAGUUGAUCUAAUGUGACGUUGUGUAAAUAUUUUUUAACACUGCAGAUUUUAUGAAUUGGAAUAUGUUGCAUUUUCACGGCUUCUUUGAUUCUUUUGUUCUUCAGUGAGGCUGUUAUAAUCUAUUUCUCGUUGUCUCAGCUCUAAUGUAAAGUACUCAUAGAAAGCA